UACGAAGGGGGCUAGCGUUGCUCGGAAUCAUUGGGCGUAAAGGGUGCGUAGGUGGUGCGGUAAGUCGGGUGUGAAAUCUCGGGGCUUAACUCCGAAACUGCAUUCGAUACUGCCGUGCUUGAGGACUGGAGAGGAGACUGGAAUUUACGGUGUAGCGGUGAAAUGCGUAGAUAUCGUAAGGAAGACCAGUGGCGAAGGCGGGUCUCUGGACAGUUCCUGACGCUGAGGCACGAAGGUCAGGGGAGCAAACAGG
RNAcentral lists this ribosomal RNA (253 nucleotides) under uncultured bacterium. RNAcentral's name for it is "partial 16S ribosomal RNA". It matches the Rfam family "Bacterial small subunit ribosomal RNA", at positions 524 to 776 of the family's 1533-position model. The record is from RNAcentral.